RNAcentral lists this ribosomal RNA (468 nucleotides) under uncultured bacterium. RNAcentral's name for it is "partial 16S ribosomal RNA". It matches the Rfam family "Bacterial small subunit ribosomal RNA", at positions 29 to 507 of the family's 1533-position model. The record is from RNAcentral.
ACGAACGCUGGCGGCGUGCUUAACACAUGCAGGUCGAACGGAAAGGCCCUGCUUGCAGGGUGCUCGAGUGGCGAACGGGUGAGUAACACGUGGGUGAUCUGCCCCUUACUUUGGGAUAAGCCUGGGAAACUGGGUCUAAUACUGGAUAGGACCAUGCUGUAGGUGGUGUGGUGGAAAGAUUAGUUUCGGUAAGGGAUGAGCUCGCGGCCUAUCAGCUUGUUGGUGGGGUAAUGGCCUACCAAGGCGUCGACGGGUAGCCGGCCUGAGAGGGUGGACGGCCACAUUGGGACUGAGAUACGGCCCAGACUCCUACGGGAGGCAGCAGUGGGGAAUAUUGCACAAUGGGCGCAAGCCUGAUGCAGCGACGCCGCGUGGGGGAUGACGGCCUUCGGGUUGUAAACUCCUUUCAGCCAUGACGAAGCCCUUGUGGUGACGGUAGUGGUAGAAGAAGCACCGGCUAACUACGUG